CUGGAUAAUAGGUACAUUGUGCCUUCAAAUUUGUUGUUAUUGAAAAAAUUUGGUGCACAUACAAAUGUUGAAUGGUGCAACAAAACCAUCUUUAUAAAAUACCUUUUCAAAUAUGUGACCAAAGGACCAGAUCGUAGCAAAAUGUUUCUUCAGAGGAUUCAGAGCGGCGAAGAUGUUCCUUAUGAUGAAGAAACUGAUGCAAGAAAUGAAAUCAAAGAAUACAUUGACAGUAGAUACCUUUGUGACAUUGAUUCUUGCUGGCGAGUAUUUGGGUUUGAGAUACAUAGACAUUACCCAGCUGUUGAAAGAAUGCAUGU
This 317-nucleotide unclassified non-coding RNA is filed under the name Zea mays. RNAcentral's name for it is "misc RNA Zm00001eb330410". The record is from RNAcentral. Lineage: Eukaryota; Viridiplantae; Streptophyta; Magnoliopsida; Poales; Poaceae.